RNAcentral lists this ribosomal RNA (253 nucleotides) under uncultured bacterium. RNAcentral describes it as "partial 16S ribosomal RNA". It matches the Rfam family "Bacterial small subunit ribosomal RNA", at positions 524 to 776 of the family's 1533-position model. The record is from RNAcentral.
UACGGGGGGGGCAAGCGUUGUUCGGAAUUACUGGGCGUAAAGGGUGCGUAGGCGGUCCGCUAAGUUGGAUGUGAAAACUCUGGGCUUAACCCAGAGCCUGCAUUCAAAACUGACGGGCUAGAGUUCUGGAGGGGGUAGCGGAAUUCCUGGUGUAGCGGUGAAGUGCGUAGAUAUCAGGAGGAACACCGGUGGCGAAGGCGGCUACCUGGACAGAAACUGACGCUGAGGCACGAAAGCUAGGGGAGCAAACAGG